Molecule: long non-coding RNA, 563 nt
Filed under: Zostera marina
Lineage: Eukaryota; Viridiplantae; Streptophyta; Magnoliopsida; Alismatales; Zosteraceae
Description: long non-coding RNA (ZMAR_LNC002463)
Source: RNAcentral
AUGGUCGAAUAGGUAGACCGAAGACUUGGAUCUGUGAAGGAUCUAAGCCAUCUGAUGAAGCUCUCUUAGAAACCUCUUCUGCCGGGCAGUAACAUCGGGUGACACUUGGAUGAAACCUGAAAUUAAUUCAAAUUUUGAUUAUUUCAAUUUUCAACCAUUAUUAUAAGUAAAUUAAACUAAACUAAUUACUAACCAUGUAGGGUGGCAGGUGUUGAGAUCUGUAAUCACUGUAACAAACACAACUUUCUUACCAAGACCUUUCCAUUUAAGCACCAUUAAUGGAAUGUGUUGCAUCAAUGGAUGCACACUGAUAAUAAUAUCAGGUUUGUACUUCAUCAGAGCAUCCUCAAAUUUCCUUCAAAUACACAUCGAUUAAUUAAUUAUCAACUUGCUAAUUCCACGUCAGUAUCUUUAACGGAUAUUCAUAGAUUCAUAUUCCCAGGCCCCAGCAAAACAUGACAAUUAACGAUAUUAAUUAUCAUUACUUGAUACAAACGUAAUUUAUUUAUUUUAAUUAACAGAGACGUACGUACUUAGCAUAUAGAGAAGCAAUGACAGAGAGA